Molecule: transfer RNA, 63 nt
Filed under: Anatoecus icterodes
Lineage: Eukaryota; Metazoa; Arthropoda; Insecta; Psocodea; Philopteridae
Also listed under: 1 other name
Description: tRNA-Gly
Source: RNAcentral
UUUUUCUUAUUAUAUUUUAGUAAGUUUAAUUUCCAAUUAAAAAGACCUAUGAAGGAGAAAAAU